CCUACGGGGGGCAGCAGUGAGGAAUAUUGGUCAAUGGGCGAGAGUCUGAACCAGCCAAGUAGCGUGAAGGAUGACUGCCCUAUGGGUUGUAAACUUCUUUUAUAAAGGAAUAAAACGAGGCACGUGUGCCUUUUUGCAUGUACUUUAUGAAUAAGGAUCGGCUAACUCCGUGCCAGCAGCCGCGGUAAUACGGAGGAUCCGAGCGUUAUCCGGAUUUAUUGGGUUUAAAGGGAGCGUAGAUGGGUUGUUAAGUCAGUUGUGAAAGUUUGCGGCUCAACCGUAAAAUUGCAAUUGAUACUGGCAGUCGUGAGUACAGUUGAGGUAGGCGGAAUUCGUGGUGUAGCGGUGAAAUGCUUAGAUAUCACGAAGAACCCCGAUUGCGAAGGCAGCUUACUAAACUGUGACUGACAUUGAUGCUCGAAAGUGUGGGUAUCAAACAGGAUUAGAUACCCGAGUAGUC
Molecule: ribosomal RNA, 460 nt
Filed under: uncultured bacterium
Lineage: Bacteria
Description: partial 16S ribosomal RNA
Rfam family: Bacterial small subunit ribosomal RNA
Source: RNAcentral